RNAcentral lists this ribosomal RNA (766 nucleotides) under uncultured bacterium. RNAcentral's name for it is "bacterial SSU rRNA". It matches the Rfam family "Bacterial small subunit ribosomal RNA", at positions 56 to 798 of the family's 1533-position model. The record is from RNAcentral.
UGCAAGUCGAGCGCGAAAUGGCCUUCGGGCCGCGAGUAGAGCGGCGAACGGGUGAGUAACACGUGGGUAACCUGCCUUGGAGAGGGGAAUAACUUGGGGAAACCCGAGCUAAUGCCGCAUGAGUUCGCCGGACCUUCGGUGCCGGCGAGGAAAGGUGGCCUAUUCUUGAAAGCUGCCGCUCCAAGAGGGGCCCGCGUCCGAUUAGCUAGUUGGUGGGGUAACGGCUCACCAGGGCGACGAUCGGUAGCCGGCCUGAGAGGGUGAUCGGCCACACUGGAACUGAGACACGGUCCAGACCGCUACGGUGGGCAGCAGUACGGGAUAUUGCGCAGUGGGCGAAAGCCUGACGCAGCAACGCCGCGUGAAGGAUGAAAGCCUUCGGGUUGUAAACUUCUGUCAGGCGGGACGAACGAGCGGCGGUGAAUAGCCGCCGUCUCUUGACGGUACCGCCGGAGGAAGCCCCGGCUAACUCCGUGCCAGCAGCCGCGGUAAUACGGAGGGGGCAAGCGUUAUUCGGAAUUAUUGGGCGUAAAGGGCGUGUAGGCGGCUUGAUAAGCCAAAGGUGAAAUCCCUCAGCUCAACUGAGGAACUGCCUUUGGAACUGUCUCGCUAGAGGCCAGGAGAGGGUAGCGGAAUUCCCAGUGUAGCGGUGAAAUGCGUAGAUAUUGGGAGGAACACCAGUGCCGAAGGCGGCUACCUGGACUGAUACUGACGCUGAGGCGCGAAAGCGUGGGGAGCAAACAGGAUUAAUACCCUGGUAGUCCAC